RNAcentral lists this transfer RNA (68 nucleotides) under Legionella micdadei. RNAcentral describes it as "tRNA-Met (CAT) (tRNA-Met-CAT-2-1)". Lineage: Bacteria; Pseudomonadati; Pseudomonadota; Gammaproteobacteria; Legionellales; Legionellaceae. The record is from RNAcentral.
GUGGUUAAAAUUGUUAAACAUGACUCAUAAUCCGUUGGUCCUAGGUUCAAGUCCUAGUGGGCCCACCA